UACGUAGGGGGCAAGCGUUGUCCGGAUUUAUUGGGCGUAAAGAGCGUGUAGGCGGCCAGACAGGUCAGCUGUGAAAACUCGAGGCUCAACCUCGAGACGUCGGUUGAAACCGUCUGGCUAGAGUCCGGAAGAGGAGAGUGGAAUUCCCCGGUGUAGCGGUGAAAUGCGCAGAUAUCGGGAAGAACACCCGUGGCGAAGGCGGCUCUCUGGGACGGUACUGACGCUGAGACGCGAAAGCGUGGGGAGCGAACAGG
This 254-nucleotide ribosomal RNA is filed under the name uncultured bacterium. RNAcentral's name for it is "partial 16S ribosomal RNA". It matches the Rfam family "Bacterial small subunit ribosomal RNA", at positions 524 to 776 of the family's 1533-position model. The record is from RNAcentral.